AGAGAUCGAAUUAUAUUUAUAAGGUAAAAAGGCAGUUAAAUAUUUUAUUAAAAGCUUGUUGAUUUUUUAUAUAAAGGUAAAAUUUAAAUAUAAAGUAAUAAUAUUAUCUAAGCUAUUAAUAUUGAAUCUGCGACAACCUAGAGGGAAACUGGGAUUAGAUACCCCAUUAUUCUUGGAUUUAAAUAAAUGUAAAUUUACCAGAGUACUAUGAAUCUUAUUAAAAAUUUAAAACUCAAAGAGCUUGGCGGUGUUUUAGACCUCUCAGGGGAACCUGUCUCUUAAUCGACAAUCCACGUUAAACCUAACCCUUUUUAGCGUAACAGUUUGUAUACCAUCGUCGUCAGGUAACUUUUAAAAAUUUAGAAGUUGGCAACUAAAUAUUUAUGAAUUUAGACGUCAGAUCAAGGUGCAGCUUAUAUAAGGGUGAGGAUGGGUUACAAUUAAUAAUUAUAAAUACGGAUAUAAUAAUGAAAUAUGUAUUAUAAUGAAGGAGGACUUGAAAGUAAGGAUAAUUUAUAUAAAGACAAUCUGAAUUAGGCUCUGAAACAUGC
This 551-nucleotide ribosomal RNA is filed under the name Tonna dunkeri. RNAcentral describes it as "partial 12S ribosomal RNA". The record is from RNAcentral. Lineage: Eukaryota; Metazoa; Mollusca; Gastropoda; Littorinimorpha; Tonnidae.